GACAGAGGGUGCAAACGUUGUCCGGAUUUACUGGGCGUAAAGCGCGCGCAGGCGGCGGUGUUGGCCCGGCGUGAAAGCCCCCGGCUCAACCGGGGAGAGUCGUCGGGGACCGCACCGCUUGAGGGCGGUAGGGGCUGGUGGAAUGCCUGGUGUAGUGGUGAAAUGCGUAGAGAUCAGGCAGAACACCUGGGGCGAAGGCGGCCAGCUGGGCCGUCCCUGACGCUGAGGCGCGAAGGCGUGGGGAGCGAACGGG
RNAcentral lists this ribosomal RNA (253 nucleotides) under uncultured bacterium. RNAcentral describes it as "partial 16S ribosomal RNA". It matches the Rfam family "Bacterial small subunit ribosomal RNA", at positions 524 to 776 of the family's 1533-position model. The record is from RNAcentral.